GGAGAGUUUGAUCCUGGCUCAGGAUUAACGCUGGCGGCGUGCCUGACACAUGCAAGUCGAACGGGUGCUAGCUGCCCGCAAGGGUGGCUAGCGCUAGUGGCGGACGGGUGAGUAACACGUGGGCAACCUGCCUGAGAGUGCAGAAUAACCCUGCGAAAGCAGAGCUAAUACUGCAUGUGGUUGUCGGAUGGCAUCAUCUGACAACUAAAGUCGCAAGACGCUCUCAGAUGGACCCGCGGCCUAUUAGCUAGUUGGUGAGGUAACGGCCCACCAAGGCUGUGAUGGGUAGCUGGUCUGAGAGGACGGACAGCCACACUGGGACUGAGACACGGCCCAGACUCCUACGGGAGGCAGCAGUGAGGAAUUUUCCGCAAUGGGCGAAAGCCUGACGGAGCAACGCCGCGUGAGGGAUGAAGUCUCUAGGGAUGUAAACCUCUGUUGGGAGGGACGAAGAUCUG
RNAcentral lists this ribosomal RNA (458 nucleotides) under Chloroflexota bacterium. Its description in RNAcentral is "bacterial SSU rRNA". It matches the Rfam family "Bacterial small subunit ribosomal RNA", at positions 6 to 455 of the family's 1533-position model. Lineage: Bacteria; Bacillati; Chloroflexota. The record is from RNAcentral.